RNAcentral lists this long non-coding RNA (264 nucleotides) under Lathyrus oleraceus (garden pea). RNAcentral's name for it is "Pisum sativum (pea) long non-coding RNA (PSAT_LNC006340)". Lineage: Eukaryota; Viridiplantae; Streptophyta; Magnoliopsida; Fabales; Fabaceae. The record is from RNAcentral.
UAACUCGGAUCGAUCCAAAACACAUUUGAACAUAAAACUUCAAAUCCUAAUAUCUCCUUCAAUACUCGAUGAAAUUCCAUGGUUCAAAGUUCAUUGCAAACUACAGUCAAGGAUCUACAAGAAUCCUACAAUAAUUUCACGAAUCAAGACUAUGGAAAUCUGACCUCUAAUUCAUGGCAGAGCUGGAAUCGCGAUCCUUGAGCUAUGAAAGCUGAAAACAGAAGCUUCUCCAGGUCUAGGUUAAUGAAUGGAUGAAGUAUCUCA